GAUGAAGCCGGCUUGGCGAAGGUCGCCGACUCGCUGUCGUCUAUCACCGACUCGGAUGCCUCCGGUAUCACAGAGGCUACAAUGGACAAAGCUCUCGACGCCAGUGAAUCCAUACUUAACAAGAUGUCCUCAAACGCCAACCUUGGAAACGCAGCAUUAACACAAAUAUCUACAGCCAUCGUUGGUACAAUCAGCAACCUGUUGUCAACUACGUUAGGUGAUGACCCAGCCAGUAACGUUACGGACAGUGCUAAUGCAAC
Long non-coding RNA from Lingula anatina, 260 nucleotides. The record is from RefSeq and is a predicted model, not a curated record. Lineage: Eukaryota; Metazoa; Brachiopoda; Lingulata; Lingulida; Lingulidae.